GACGAACGCUGGCGGCGUGCUUAACACAUGCAAGUCGUACGGUAAGGCCCUUUCGGGGGUACACGAGUGGCGAACGGGUGAGUAACACGUGAGUAACCUGCCCACAACUUUGGGAUAACGCUAGGAAACUGGUGCUAAUACUGGAUAUGUGCUCCUGCUGCAUGGUGGGGGUUGGAAAGCUCCGGCGGUUGUGGAUGGACUCGCGGCCUAUCAGCUUGUUGGUGGGGUAGUGGCCUACCAAGGCGGCGACGGGUAGCCGGCCUGAGAGGGUGACCGGCCAUAUUGGGACUGAGAUACGGCCCAGACUCCUACGGGAGGCAGCAGUGGGGAAUAUUGCACAAUGGGCGCAAGCCUGAUGCAGCAACGCCGCGUGCGGGAUGACGGCCUUAGGGUUGUAAACCGAUUUCAGCAGGGACGAAGCUUUUUGUGACGGUACCUGCAGAAGAAGCACCGGCUAACUACGUG
This 465-nucleotide ribosomal RNA is filed under the name uncultured bacterium. RNAcentral's name for it is "partial 16S ribosomal RNA". It matches the Rfam family "Bacterial small subunit ribosomal RNA", at positions 28 to 507 of the family's 1533-position model. The record is from RNAcentral.